This 512-nucleotide ribosomal RNA is filed under the name Parnassius schultei schultei. RNAcentral describes it as "partial 16S ribosomal RNA". The stretch from base 385 to 512 matches the Rfam family "Bacterial large subunit ribosomal RNA", at positions 2473 to 2600 of the family's 2925-position model. The record is from RNAcentral. Lineage: Eukaryota; Metazoa; Arthropoda; Insecta; Lepidoptera; Papilionidae.
UUUUUGAUUAAUAAUUUAAAGUCUAAUCUGCCCACUGAUAUUAUAUUAAAGGGCUGCAGUAUUUUGACUGUACAAAGGUAGCAUAAUCAUUAGUCUCUUAAUUGGUGACUUGUAUGAAAGAUUUGAUGAAAUAUAUACUGUCUCUUUUUAAUUUAUAAAAUUUAAUUUUUUGGUUAAAAAGCUAAAAUAUAUUUAAAAGACGAGAAGACCCUAUAGAGUUUUAUAUUUAAUUAAAUUAAAAUUUUUUAUAAGAUUUAAAAUUUUAAUAUAUUUAAAUAUUAUGUUGGGGUGACAAAAAAAUUUGAAUAACUUUUUUUAUAUAUUAACAUUAAUAAAUGAAUAAAGGAUCCGUAAUUUACGAUUAUAAGAAAAAAUUACCUUAGGGAUAACAGCGUAAUUUUUUUUUUUAGUUCAAAUAAGAAUAAAAGUUUGCGACCUCGAUGUUGGAUUAAGAUAAAAUUUAAAUGCAAAAGUUUAAAAUUUUUGAUCUGUUCGAUCAUUAAAAUCUUACA